RNAcentral lists this ribosomal RNA (215 nucleotides) under unidentified marine eubacterium. Its description in RNAcentral is "partial 16S ribosomal RNA". It matches the Rfam family "Bacterial small subunit ribosomal RNA", at positions 527 to 741 of the family's 1533-position model. The record is from RNAcentral.
GAGGGGUGCGAGCGUUAAUCGGAAUUACUGGGCGUAAAGCGCACGCAGGCGGUUUGUUAAGCUAGAUGUGAAAGCCCCGGGCUCAACCUGGGAUGGUCAUUUAGAACUGGCAGACUAGAGUCUGGUAGAGGGUAGUGGAAUUCCAGGUGUAGCGGUGAAAUGCGUAGAUAUCUGGAGGAACAUCAGUGGCGAAGGCGACUCCCUGGCCAAAGACU